This 494-nucleotide ribosomal RNA is filed under the name uncultured bacterium. Its description in RNAcentral is "partial 16S ribosomal RNA". It matches the Rfam family "Bacterial small subunit ribosomal RNA", at positions 28 to 507 of the family's 1533-position model. The record is from RNAcentral.
GACGAACGCUGGCGGCGUGCUUAACACAUGCAAGUCGAACGGUGAAGCGCCUUCCUUUUUGGUGGGUGUGGAUGAGUGGCGAACGGGUGAGUAACACGUGAGUAACCUGCCCCCUUCUUCUGGAUAACCGCAUGAAAGUGUGGCUAAUACGGGAUAUUCUGGGUCUGUCGCAUGAUGGGUCUGGGAAAGAUAUUGUUUCGGUGGGGGAUGGGCUCGCGGCCUAUCAGCUUGUUGGUGGGGUGAUGGCCUACCAAGGCGGUGACGGGUAGCCGGCCUGAGAGGGUGGACGGUCACAAUGGGACUGAGACACGGCCCAGACUCCUACGGGAGGCAGCAGUGGGGAAUAUUGCACAAUGGGCGCAAGCCUGAUGCAGCGACGCCGCGGGAGGGAUGGAGGCCUUCGGGUUGUGAACCUCUUUCGCCAGUGAAGCAGGCCUGCCUCGUUUGUGGGUGGGUUGACGGUAGCUGGAUAAGAAGCGCCGGCUAACUACGUG